Molecule: long non-coding RNA, 926 nt
Organism: Triticum dicoccoides
Lineage: Eukaryota; Viridiplantae; Streptophyta; Magnoliopsida; Poales; Poaceae
Exons: 2
Source: RefSeq, a predicted model, not a curated record
UUUUGUCUUUCCCUGUUUUGUCAUCUUUAGUAUUUUUUGUUUCUUCAUACGUGCAUUUUUAUCGUCCCAACAAUCCACUGGCCUGACGGGCACGCCAAGGCACACAUUUAAUUAUCAGAAGAUGGUUCUGUUUUUAUGGGGCCUGCAUUUGUAAUGGUUCAUUAAGGUCACCAUUGAGCCGCCUUCUGUACUUUAGAGGCGUAUUGUGCGGCUACACGUUUGUGUUUUUUUAUCCAUUCACCCAUUGCAAUGUAAAUUCAAGUUCUUGGAUUUUUAUUUCUUGUUUCUUCUUUUUGGUGAGCGAAUUGGCUAAUUGAGCUAUUUUCCUCUUGGUUUGUUGCAGCAAUUGGGAAGGAUCGUCCUGUAUUAUCUAUCAUGGUUAUUAGCUAGCAAGAGUGAUGCCACAAGUGGAUCUGCCCAGUAAAUUUGUUAAUUACUUCCUUGCAAGAAUGAGUUGAGUUUGGUUUCUAAUCCCUCAAGUCUAUUCAAGAUUGCCCAUUUUUUAGUUACAUACAAAUAUGCACCUUGAUUGCUAUGCAUAAUCACCAGAGUUUUAAAAUCAGAAUGGGGCAAUAAAUGUGUCCACUAUGACAAAGUGAAGACAAAACGAAUGCAUCGAGUUACUAAUGCAGUGGUUUUCAAGGUUGGACAUUGAUAUCAACUAUGAUUAUUUAAUAGAGAAAUUCUGUUCAUAUGAAGCGAAAGAAAAGCAUGCAGUACCUUACAUUGACAGUGAUUAUUAGGCCAUUGUGGUACUUCAAAUUCUGAUAAAGAAUAUAUAUCAUGACCGAGAUUUGGGAUUUGGAGAAUCUCAAUUCUGAUAUGUACAUGCAUCUCCUUUUAUUUUGUCACGCUAUUGAAUGUUCUGAUAUGGGACUACUUACUCUGUAUAUCUCUUAUAUAUAAUAAAAUUGUCUAUAUGUAAA